AAAGUUUUAAGAAAUUCAUAAGCCAUGUUAAUUACUCGAUUUAUAUGAAUUGAUUUUAUUUGGUUGAAACAAGUUGAAAGGUGAUGAAUUUCAGUAUGUUAAACUGUUUUAUUUGUCUCCAUUUACUCGACUUUAGAUGGUUUAGAUGGUAUCUGUUUACUCACUGGGAUUUUAUAAUCUCACCACCCUCAUUUUCAACCAUUUCAGGCCCGAGGUAGCUUGUGGAUCGCAGAUAUCGUCAAGGAUUUUAGUCGGCUUUACUACUCCAAAAACUGUAGGUUUACUGCCUUUGUGCACUUUUGUUCCUUGUGGGCCCACGAGUUACUGUAAAGUAAAUUUCAUAUCCCGGUUAUCUGUAUUAUAGUACGUAUGAAUUUAUUUAACUUUUACAUUACAAAAAUUAUUUCCCGAUGACUCUAUAAAUAUUGUUUUACAAGAAA
Molecule: long non-coding RNA, 440 nt
Filed under: Theobroma cacao (cacao)
Lineage: Eukaryota; Viridiplantae; Streptophyta; Magnoliopsida; Malvales; Malvaceae
Description: long non-coding RNA (TCAC_LNC002480)
Source: RNAcentral